RNAcentral lists this ribosomal RNA (497 nucleotides) under uncultured bacterium. Its description in RNAcentral is "partial 16S ribosomal RNA". It matches the Rfam family "Bacterial small subunit ribosomal RNA", at positions 28 to 507 of the family's 1533-position model. The record is from RNAcentral.
GAUGAACGCUGGCGGCGUGCCUAAUACAUGCAAGUCGAGCGAACAGACGAGGAGCUUGCUCCUCUGACGUUAGCGGCGGACGGGUGAGUAACACGUGGAUAACCUACCUAUAAGACUGGGAUAACUUCGGGAAACCGGAGCUAAUACCGGAUAAUAUAUUGAACCGCAUGGUUCAAUAGUGAAAGACGGCUUUGCUGUCACUUAUAGAUGGACCCGCGCCGCAUUAGCUAGUUGGUAAGGUAACGGCUUACCAAGGCAACGAUGCGUAGCCGACCUGAGAGGGUGAUCGGCCACACUGGAACUGAGACACGGUCCAGACUCCUACGGGAGGCAGCAGUAGGGAAUCUUCCGCAAUGGGCGAAAGCCUGACGGAGCAACGCCGCGUGAGUGAUGAAGGUCUUCUGAUCGUAAAACUCUGUUAUUAGGGAAGAACAAAUGUGUAAGUAACUAUGCACGUCUUGACGGUACCUAAUCAGAAAGCCACGGCUAACUACGUG